ACGUGGGUAACCUGCCUGUAAGACUGGGAUAACUCCGGGAAACCGGAGCUAAUACCGGAUAGUUCCUUGAACCGCAUGGUUCAAGGAUGAAAGACGGUUUCGGCUGUCACUUACAGAUGGACCCGCGGCGCAUUAGCUAGUUGGUGAGGUAACGGCUCACCAAGGCGACGAUGCGUAGCCGACCUGAGAGGGUGAUCGGCCACACUGGGACUGAGACACGGCCCAGACUCCUACGGGAGGCAGCAGUAGGGAAUCUUCCGCAAUGGACGAAAGUCUGACGGAGCAACGCCGCGUGAGUGAUGAAGGUUUUCGGAUCGUAAAGCUCUGUUGUUAGGGAAGAACAAGUGCAAGAGUAACUGCUUGCACCUUGACGGUACCUAACCAGAAAGCCACGGCUAACUACGUGCCAGCAGCCGCGGUAAUACGUAGGUGGCAAGCGUUGUCCGGAAUUAUUGGGCGUAAAGGGCUCGCAGGCGGUUUCUUAAGUCUGAUGUGAAAGCCCCCGGCUCAACCGGGGAGGGUCAUUUGGAAACUG
RNAcentral lists this ribosomal RNA (535 nucleotides) under Bacillus altitudinis. RNAcentral's name for it is "bacterial SSU rRNA". It matches the Rfam family "Bacterial small subunit ribosomal RNA", at positions 115 to 635 of the family's 1533-position model. Lineage: Bacteria; Bacillati; Bacillota; Bacilli; Caryophanales; Bacillaceae. The record is from RNAcentral.